RNAcentral lists this ribosomal RNA (205 nucleotides) under Sporolactobacillus terrae. Its description in RNAcentral is "partial 16S rRNA". It matches the Rfam family "Bacterial small subunit ribosomal RNA", at positions 1332 to 1533 of the family's 1533-position model. The record is from RNAcentral. Lineage: Bacteria; Bacillati; Bacillota; Bacilli; Caryophanales; Sporolactobacillaceae.
UUGCUAGUAAUCGCGGAUCAGCAUGCCGCGGUGAAUCCGUUCCCGGGCCUUGURCACACCGCCCGUCACACCACGAGAGUUUGUAACACCCGAAGUCGGUGUGGGAACCUUUAUGGACCCAGCCGCCGAAGGUGGGACAAAUGAUUGGGGUGAAGUCGUAACAAGGUAGCCGUAUCGGAAGGUGCGGCUGGAUCACCUCCUUUCU